Molecule: long non-coding RNA, 1856 nt
Filed under: Triticum aestivum (bread wheat)
Lineage: Eukaryota; Viridiplantae; Streptophyta; Magnoliopsida; Poales; Poaceae
Description: long non-coding RNA (TAES_LNC006908)
Source: RNAcentral
UUAACUAUGCUGAAGCACAAGCAUCAGCAAUUAUUUUGCAGUCAGAAACCCUUGCUAACUCAUUAUCCAGAAUAGGUUCAUCCAUGUAAAAGUUAUAAAGAAUAUAUCACACUCUAUAGGAAUAAUCAGCGAGCAUGUCCAGAUGACUACAUAAACAUAUACCUAGAAACCAGUAGCCAUCAUUACAAUCUACUGCUGAAAUGAUCUUACAUCAAAUGUUGUACGGCCUGUAGAACCCUUACCAUAAUAAGCACUAUGUAUUACACCUACAUUCCCUCUCAGUAAGGUAGAUAUCCAUAUUGCUCUUCACAAUCUCUACUACCAAAUCUGGGACGCCAUCUUCUCCAACACUGCCUCUGCAUUAAUUCAUGGAAUGACAUGAGUACGUAAGUAUAUCGAGUAGAAGAGUAAACUUAUCAAAGGAACUCAAAGUAAUGAUACAACUUUCUGCAAGAUACUUAUGUUCCUGAGAGGUGUAUGCACUAGGCUAGCCUGAAUCUAUGAUACUUGCAUAUUUGAAAGAUAUGUGCUAGGCUACACUGAAUCUGUGAUACUAACAUUCCUGAAAUAUAUGUGCUAGGCUAGACCGAAUCUGUGGCAAAUUACUAUCACUAGACGAACUAGAAAGACACAUACAACGAUGAUUUGCGCUAAAUCAAUUGCGUGCCCAACUAAUUUAAUUCUAAAAUUGCUAAUUGACUGGGAACAACAAGCAGCCAAGCAGAAAUCAUUCAUGAGUAUUGGGUAGAAAGCAGCAGCAGUGCUAGUAUUCAAUCAAGUGAGCAGCUAAACACAAGAUCUGCAAGCCACCCACAGCAGACUCAUUGUAAACCUGGGGAGAGCUCGCAAAAACUGCGUACAAUACACCUAGUAAAUUUCCAUGAGAUGCCACAAAAGCAUGCACCCACGGUUUGAUGUUCCAAGAGAUGUCACAAUAUUCAGUCAGCUAUCUUCAGGUAAUGACAAUGUCCACCGCAGGCCUUUCGGGCUUUUGGCAUUAUCCAAUCUGGUCCUGCUUAACACGGAGAAGUACUAGUGUUAUUAACAGAACAAUAAGUUGAGAAAUGCGUAGCUAGCUCAUGCGUGUGAAUCCUAGUUCUAAGCUGUCUGUCAGUGGACAGUCUGGCCAGGUGCCCUAAUCGUGAAUGGCAUGCAGAACCUCGAAACAGAUUUCCACUGGGCGUCCAGAUAGCAACGACUGUGUAUCGUACGCCCUAAAUUAACAGCCAAUAUACAAAAGGGUCAUUGUAGUUGUUGAACAUAAUGUGCAUGUGUUCAGCAGGAUUCAAAUAAUGUGUCCGUGGUUAGAUAAUCAGACGCCUGUUUACAGAACAUGACAUCUUAAAAGUGCAGGAUGAACACAAUCUAAUUCAUCAGUAUGCGCGCAUGUUUACAAAACAUGACAUCUUUAAAAUUUAUAGGAUAAUUCCACUUGAUCCAGUGCAUACAAUAUAUUGUGAUGCGGUCCACUAAGUUCACACCUCACAGCACAAGAAACUAGUACAUAGUAGCAGAAUACACACCCAAAAGUAACACUUACUCUCCAAAUCACAAAGCAAUAACAUACAAAUCUUGAGCAGUUCAACUACACAAGCCGGCGACUCAACGGAUGAAAACAAAAUCACAGAGAUGAAGACAUGAGAGGAUGAUGAGUUUGAGGUUACCUGCCGUCUGGAGGAGAGGAUGCUGGGGAGAGCCGUCACCGGUCUAGUCCAGGCGGCGGAGGUGGUGUCGAGUCCAGCGGCAGUGACGGCAUUGAGCCCAUGCGGCGGCGGCAGCGGCGGCGGAUGAGAUAUAGGAAAGGGUGGCGCGUCGUUCGCUGCUGCUGGAAGCACCUUCGUUCGUGCGACCCCCUG